ACAGCAGUCGCACGGGAAAACGUAGGGCGCAAGCGUUGAUCGGAAUUACUGGGCGUAAAGCGUGCGCAGGCGGUUCGCUAAGACAGAUGUGAAAUCCCCGGGCUUAACCUGGGAACUGCAUUUGUGACUGGCGGGCUAGAGUAUGGCAGAGGGGGGGUAGAAUUCCACGUGUAGCAGUGAAAUGCGUAGAGAUGUGGAGGAAUACCGAUGGCGAAGGCAGCCCCCUGGGCCAAUACUGACGCUCAUGCACGAAAGCGUGGGGAGCAAACAGGAUUAGAUACCCGGGUAGUCCCUGUCUCUUAUAC
Molecule: ribosomal RNA, 305 nt
Filed under: uncultured bacterium
Lineage: Bacteria
Description: partial 16S ribosomal RNA
Rfam family: Bacterial small subunit ribosomal RNA
Source: RNAcentral